AUCUAGCUUCUUCUGUUAUUUAAUAGCAGCAAAAUCAGGGAAUAAAAGGUUACAAAGCAAGAACUUACUGCAGAAUCAUUCAUGGUUUGUCAUUCUCCUAACAAGCUAGAAUUUGAAGGAGGUUUUAUUUUAUUCUCAGUUCAUAAUCCAAAAUAAAACCAGAAGUUUUGCAAUAACUUUUAAGCUGAAAAAAUGAAAAGAGAAUUGUCUGCAAGGAAGAAAGGAAAAUAUGAAAUGGAUUUAUUUGGGAAGCUUAUAAACUCUUGUGGGCACCAUCUCUGAAGGGCUGCAAGAACAGAGAUCAAAUUUGUCCUCCAUUUCUGCAGCCUGCCAGAGGAGUUCCCUCCCCUCAAUUGACUAUAAUUAUAUGCCAGUCAGCAGAACCAUAGAGGAAAUGCAUCUCUUCCCUUGCAAAGAAUACUUUAAAUGUUGGCAUGGCAGUAAAAAUUGUUCCUUUCUUGAAUCCACAGGAAUGCUUGCUCUGCAUUCCUUUUCCAUCAGAGUUUCAAAGAACAAGGAUGUGGAAUUGGCUGUCUUCAUCAGCAUUGCAAUGAUAUAGACUUCACUGUUUGACUCAGGUACUCCCACCCUUGGGCAUAUCUAGAAAGCUGAUUAAAUUAGUUUCUGCCAGGUAA
Long non-coding RNA from Pantherophis guttatus, 635 nucleotides. RefSeq lists it as uncharacterized. The record is from RefSeq and is a predicted model, not a curated record. Lineage: Eukaryota; Metazoa; Chordata; Lepidosauria; Squamata; Colubridae.